CCUACGGGUGGCUGCAGUCGAGAAUCAUUCACAAUGGGGGAAACCCUGAUGGUGCGACGCCGCGUGGGGGAAUGAAGGUCUUCGGAUUGUAAACUCCUGUCAUGUGGGAGCAAAUUAAAAAGAUAGUACCACAAGAGGAAGAGACGGCUAACUCUGUGCCAGCAGCCGCGGUAAUACAGAGGUCCCAAGCGUUGUUCGGAAUCACUGGGCGUAAGGCGUGCGUAGGCUGUUUCGUAAGUCGUGUGUGAAAGGCGCGGGCUCAACCCGCGGACGGCACAUGAUACUGCGAGACUAGAGUAAUGGAGGGGGAAGCGGAAUUCUCGGUGUAGCAGUGAAAUGCGUAGAUAUCGAGAGGAACACUCGUGGCGAAGGCGGGUUCCUGGACAUUAACUGACGCUGAGGCACGAAGGCCAGGGGAGCGAAAGGGAUUAGAUACCCCAGUAGUC
RNAcentral lists this ribosomal RNA (446 nucleotides) under uncultured bacterium. RNAcentral's name for it is "partial 16S ribosomal RNA". It matches the Rfam family "Bacterial small subunit ribosomal RNA", at positions 338 to 795 of the family's 1533-position model. The record is from RNAcentral.